Molecule: ribosomal RNA, 406 nt
Filed under: Scalopidia spinosipes
Lineage: Eukaryota; Metazoa; Arthropoda; Malacostraca; Decapoda; Scalopidiidae
Description: partial 16S large subunit ribosomal RNA
Rfam family: Bacterial large subunit ribosomal RNA
Source: RNAcentral
UUAUUUAAGAGCCGCGGUAUAUUGACCGUGCAAAGGUAGCAUAAUCAUUAGUUUCUUAAUUGGGAACUUGUAUGAAGGGUUGGACAAAGGAAAAGCUGUCUUUAAGUAUAGAAGUUGAAAUUAACUUUUAAGUGAAAAGGCUUAAAUGCUUCAGAGGGACGAUAAGACCCUAUAAAGCAUUUUAUUGGGGCGAUAUUGGUAUAAUUAUUAACUGCUUGUAUAUAAUACAUUAAUGGAUGAAGUGAUCCUUUAUUUAAGAUUAUAAAACUAAGUUACUUUAGGGAUAACAGCGUAAUUUUUUUUGAGAGUUCAUAUCGAAAAAAAAGUUUGCGACCUCGAUGUUGAAUUAAAAUGUCUAUAUAAUGCAGUAGUUAUAUAAGAAGGUCUGUUCGACCUUUAAUAUUUU